UAAGCAUAUCAAUAAGCGGAGGAAAAGAAACCAACAGGGAUUGCCUCAGUAACGGCGAGUGAAGCGGCAACAGCUCAAAUUUGAAAUCUGGCUCCCUUUGGGCGCCCGAGUUGUAAUUUGCAGAGGGUGCUUUGGCGUCGGCAGCGGCCUAAGUUCCUUGGAACAGGGCGUCACAGAGGGUGAGAAUCCCGUACGUGGCCGCCGGCCUUCGCCGUGUAAAGCCCCUUCGACGAGUCGAGUUGUUUGGGAAUGCAGCUCUAAAUGGGAGGUAAAUUCCUUCUAAAGCUAAAUACUGGCCAGAGACCGAUAGCGCACAAGUAGAGUGAUCGAAAGAUGAAAAGCACUUUGGAAAGAGAGUCAAAAAGCACGUGAAAUUGUUGAAAGGGAAGCGCUUGCAGCCAGACUUGCCCGCGGUCGUUCUUCUUCCGCGGGCAGGCCAGCAUCAGUCUGGGCGGUCGGAUAAAGGCCUCGGGAACGUAGCUCUCUCCGGGGAGUGUUAUAGCCCGGGGCGUCAUGCGGCCAGCCCGGACUGAGGUCCGCGCAUCUGCUAGGAUGCUGGCGUAAUGGCUGUAAGCGGCCCGUCUUGAAACACGGACCAAGGAGUCUAACAUCUAUGCGAGUGUUUGGGUGUCAAGCCCGGGCGCGCAAUGAAAGUGAACGGAGGUGGGAACCCCUCGGGGCGCACCAUCGACCGAUCCUGAUGUCUUCGGAUGGAUUUGAGUAAGAGCAUAGCUGUUGGGACCCGAAAGAUGGUGAACUAUGCCUGAAUAGGGUGAAGCCAGAGGAAACUCUGGUGGAGGCUCGCAGCGGUUCUGACGUGCAAAUCGAUCGUCAAAUUUGGGGCAUAGGGGGCGAAAGACUAAUCGAACUAUCUAGUAGCUGGUUCCUGCCGAAGCUCCCCCCCCCCGGAGAA
RNAcentral lists this ribosomal RNA (913 nucleotides) under Stachybotrys sp. RNAcentral's name for it is "partial large subunit ribosomal RNA". It matches the Rfam family "Eukaryotic large subunit ribosomal RNA", at positions 35 to 981 of the family's 3401-position model. Lineage: Eukaryota; Fungi; Ascomycota; Sordariomycetes; Hypocreales; Stachybotryaceae. The record is from RNAcentral.